CAGGAAAUAAUUUAACAAAAAUGUUAAUUUUGGAGGUUAAUUUUAGAUUUUUUUCUUUUCCUGA
RNAcentral lists this transfer RNA (64 nucleotides) under Frankliniella intonsa. RNAcentral's name for it is "tRNA-Pro". The record is from RNAcentral. Lineage: Eukaryota; Metazoa; Arthropoda; Insecta; Thysanoptera; Thripidae.